AGGAGGGAGGAGAUGGGCCAAG
Molecule: microRNA, 22 nt
Filed under: Pteropus alecto (black flying fox)
Lineage: Eukaryota; Metazoa; Chordata; Mammalia; Chiroptera; Pteropodidae
Also listed under: 1 other name
Description: pal-miR-1249-5p
Source: miRBase by way of RNAcentral